This 1988-nucleotide ribosomal RNA is filed under the name human gut metagenome. RNAcentral's name for it is "bacterial LSU rRNA". It matches the Rfam family "Bacterial large subunit ribosomal RNA", at positions 1 to 1985 of the family's 2925-position model. The record is from RNAcentral.
AUAAGAUAUCAAGGGCAACAGGUGAAUGCCUUGGCGCUGAGAGGCGAUGAAAGACGCGGUAAGCUGCGAUAAGCAUCGGGGAGGAGCUAAACAUCCUACGAUCCGAUGAUUUCUGAAUGGGGAAACCCGAUGGGAGUCAUGUCCCAUCAUCCUGAGCUGAAUAUAUAGGCCCAGAGAAGCCAACCCGGGGAAGUGAAACAUCUCAGUACCCGGAGGAAGAGAAAUCAAACGAGACUCCCAAAGUAGCGGCGAGCGAAAUGGGAAGAGCCCAAACCGGGUGGUUUCGACCAUUCGGGGUUGUAGGGCCGGCAUACGCGAUUCUGGAGUAGGCAGAGGAAGUGAGCUGGAAAGCUCCGCCACAGCGGGUGAUAGCCCCGUACUCGAAACCGAAAAGGACGCAGCCGGUACCUGAGUACUGCGAGGCACGUGGAACCUCGUGGGAAUCUAGGGGGACCAUCCUCUAAGGCUAAGUACUCCUCAGCGACCGAUAGUGAACUAGUACCGUGAGGGAAAGGUGAAAAGAACCCCUGUUAGGGGAGUGAAAUAGAAUCUGAAACCUGUUGCCUACAAGCUGCGAGAGCUACUUCGGUAGUGAUCGCGUGCCUUUUGUAUAAUGAGUCAGCGAGUUACUCUACCGUGCGAGGUUAAGCGAAAGCGUAGCCGUAGUGAAAGCGAGGCUUAAUAGGCCGACUAGUACGUUGGAGUAGACCCGAAACCGGGUGAUCUAUCCAUGAGCAGGUUGAAGCAAGGGUAAAGCCUUGUGGAGGACCGAACCGUCAACGGCUGAAAACGUUCCGGAUGACUUGUGGAUAGGGGUGAAAGGUCAAUCAAACCCGGAGAUAGCUGGUUCUCCCCGAAAUAUAUUGAGGUAUAGCCUCGGGAAUUGAUUAGCGGAGGUAAAGCACUGACAGAGCUAGGGGUCCUACCAGAUUACCAAACUCUAUCAAACUCAGAAUGCCGCUUAAUUGUAUCCCGGGAGUCAGACGGCGGGUGCGAAGGUUCGUCGUCAAAAGGGAAACAGCCCAGACCAACAGCUAAGGUCUCCAAAUCCAUGCUCAGUGGUGAAGGUAGUGGAACCGUUUAGACAGCCAGGACGUUGGCUUAGAAGCAGCCAUCAUUUAAAGAAAGCGUAAUAGCUCACUGGUCUAAUGGCUCUGCGCCGAAAAUGUAACGGGGCUAAGCAUGGUACCGAAGCUUUGGCAAUCUCCUUGGGAGAUUGGGUAGGGGAGCGUUCGCUGCGGGCUGGAGGUGUAUCGGAAGGUAUGCUGGACUGCAGUGAAGUGAUUAUGCUGACAUGAGUAACGAUAAAAUAUGUGAAAAACAUAUUCGCCGAAAACCCGAGGUUUCCUGGGUAAAGGUAAUCUUCCCAGGGUUAGUCGGAUCCUAAGGUGAGGGUGAAAGCCGUAACCGAUGGAAAACAGGUUAAUAUUCCUGUACUUGUUGUGUAGCGCGAUGGAGGGACGCAGGAAGAUAGGCGGGCCGGGUGUUGGAUAUCCCGGUGCAAGCGUGUAGGAAUAUCCGGUAGGCAAAUCCGCCGGACGAAUCUGAGACGCGAGUCCGUGGGCGCAAGCCCUGAAGCCGUUGAGUCUAUGCUGCCUAGAAAAGCUCCUAAGUUUAUCCACAGCAAUCCGUACCGCAAACCAACUCAGGUGGGUGGGAUGAACAAUCCAAGGCGCUCGAGAGAACUCUGGCCAAGGAACUCGGCAAAAUAACCCCGUAACUUCGGAAGAAGGGGUGCUCUCUAGGGUGACAUGUUUAACAUAUGAAGCCCCGGGGAGCCGCAGUGAAUUGGUGGUGGCGACUGUUUACUAAAAACAUAGGUCUGUGCGAAGUCCUAAAGACGACGUAUACGGACUGACGCCUGCCCGGUGCUGGAAGGUUAAAAGGAGGGGUCAGCGCAAGCAAAGCUCCGAAUUGAAGCCCCAGUAAACGGCGGCCGUAACUAUAACGGUCCUAAGGUAGCGAAAUUCCUUGUCGGGUAAGUUCCG